This 261-nucleotide ribosomal RNA is filed under the name uncultured archaeon. RNAcentral's name for it is "partial 16S ribosomal RNA". It matches the Rfam family "Archaeal small subunit ribosomal RNA", at positions 748 to 1009 of the family's 1478-position model. The record is from RNAcentral.
CAGCCGUAAACUAUGCUCGCUAGGUGUCAGGCAUGGCGCGACCGUGUCUGGUGCCGCAGGAAAGCCGUGAAGCGAGCCACCUGGGAAGUACGGCCGCAAGGCUGAAACUUAAAGGAAUUGGCGGGGGAGCACAACAACGGGUGGAGCCUGCGGUUUAAUUGGACUCAACGCCGGACAACUCACCGGGGACGACAGCAAUAUGUAGGCCAGGCUGAAGACCUUGCCUGAAUCGCUGAGAGGAGGUGCAUGGCGUAGACGUCU